UCUACGGGAGGCAGCAGUGAGGAAUAUUGGUCAAUGGGCGCGAGCCUGAACCAGCCAAGUAGCGUGAAGGAUGACUGCCCUACGGGUUGUAAACUUCUUUUAUAAAGGAAUAAAGUGAGGCACGUGUGCCUUUUUGUAUGUACUUUAUGAAUAAGGAUCGGCUAACUCCGUGCCAGCAGCCGCGGUAAUACGGAGGAUCCGAGCGUUAUCCGGAUUUAUUGGGUUUAAAGGGAGCGUAGAUGGGUUGUUAAGUCAGUUGUGAAAGUUUGCGGCUCAACAGUAAAAUUGCAAUUGAUACUGGCAGCCAUGAGGACAGUUGAGGUAGGCGGAAUUCGUGGUGUAGCGGUGAAAUGCUUAGAUAUCACGAAGAACUCCGAUUGCGAAGGCAGCUUACUAAACUGCCACUGACAUUGAUGCUCGAAAGUGUGGGUAUCAAACAGGAUUAGAUACCCCGGUAGUC
This 460-nucleotide ribosomal RNA is filed under the name uncultured bacterium. RNAcentral describes it as "partial 16S ribosomal RNA". It matches the Rfam family "Bacterial small subunit ribosomal RNA", at positions 338 to 795 of the family's 1533-position model. The record is from RNAcentral.